GACGAACGCUGGCGGCGUGCUUAACACAUGCAAGUCGAACGGAAAGGCCCUGCUUUUGUGGGGUGCUCGAGUGGCGAACGGGUGAGUAACACGUGAGUAACCUGCCCUUGACUUUGGGAUAACUUCAGGAAACUGGGGCUAAUACCGGAUAGGAGCUCCUGCUGCUUGGUGGGGGUUGGAAAGUUUCGGCGGUUGGGGAUGGACUCGCGGCUUAUCUACUUGUUGGUGGGGUAGUGGCUUACCAAGGCUUUGACGGGUAGCCGGCCUGAGAGGGUGACCGGCCACAAUGGGACUGAGAGACGGACCAGACGCCUACGGGAGGCAGCAGUGGGGAAUAUUGCACAAUGGGCGGAAGCGUGAUGCAGCAACGCCGCGUGCGGGAUGACCGCCUUCGGGCUGUAAACCGCUUUCGCCUGUGACGAAGCGUGAGUGACGGUAAUGGGUAAAGAAGCACCGGCUAACUACGUG
RNAcentral lists this ribosomal RNA (468 nucleotides) under uncultured bacterium. Its description in RNAcentral is "partial 16S ribosomal RNA". It matches the Rfam family "Bacterial small subunit ribosomal RNA", at positions 28 to 507 of the family's 1533-position model. The record is from RNAcentral.